GAUGAACGCUAGCGGCAGGCCUAACACAUGCAAGUCGCGGGGCAGCGCGGUGUAGCAAUACACUGGCGGCGACCGGCGCACGGGUGCGUAACGCGUAUGCAACCUGCCCACUCCCGGGGGAUAGCCCGCCGAAAGGCGGAUUAAUACCCCAUGGACCCUUAGCGCCGCAUGGCGCGGAGGGUAAAGCUCCGGCGGGAAUGGAUGGGCAUGCGUGCCAUUAGCUGGUUGGUAGGGUAACGGCUUACCAAGGCUACGAUGGCUAGGGGGUCUGGGAGGAUGAUCCCCCACACUGGUACUGAGACACGGACCAGACUCCUACGGGAGGCAGCAGUGAGGAAUAUUGGUCAAUGGGCGGAAGCCUGAACCAGCCAUGCCGCGUGCAGGACGACGGCCCUACGGGUUGUAAACUGCUUUUCCGGGGGAAGAAUAACCCCCUGCGGGGGGGAUGCCGGUACCCCGGGAAUAAGGAUCGGCUAACUCCGUG
RNAcentral lists this ribosomal RNA (484 nucleotides) under uncultured bacterium. RNAcentral's name for it is "bacterial SSU rRNA". It matches the Rfam family "Bacterial small subunit ribosomal RNA", at positions 28 to 507 of the family's 1533-position model. The record is from RNAcentral.